AUUGAACGCUGGCGGCAUGCUUUACACAUGCAAGUCGAACGGCAGCGCGGGCUUCGGCCUGGCGGCGAGUGGCGAACGGGUGAGUAAUACAUCGGAACGUGCCCAGUAGUGGGGGAUAGCUCGGCGAAAGCCGGAUUAAUACCGCAUACGACCUGAGGGUGAAAGCGGGGGAUCUUCGGACCUCGCACUAUUGGAGCGGCCGAUGGCAGAUUAGCUAGUUGGUGGGGUAAAGGCCUACCAAGGCGACGAUCUGUAGCUGGUCUGAGAGGACGACCAGCCACACUGGGACUGAGACACGGCCCAGACUCCUACGGGAGGCAGCAGUGGGGAAUUUUGGACAAUGGGCGAAAGCCUGAUCCAGCAAUGCCGCGUGUGUGAUGAAGGCCUUCGGGUUGUAAAGCACUUUUGGCGGGAACGAAAAGGACUGUGCCAAUACCACGGUUCGAUGACGGUACCCGCAGAAUAAGCACCGGCUAACUACGUG
RNAcentral lists this ribosomal RNA (484 nucleotides) under uncultured bacterium. Its description in RNAcentral is "partial 16S ribosomal RNA". It matches the Rfam family "Bacterial small subunit ribosomal RNA", at positions 29 to 507 of the family's 1533-position model. The record is from RNAcentral.